UGCGUAACGCGUAUAGAAUCUGCCUUACACUGAGGGAUUAGCUUUGGAAACGAAGAUUAAUACCUCAUAGUAUCAUUGAAUGGCAUCAUUUAGUGAUUAAAGGUUACGGUGUAAGAUGACUAUGCGUCCUAUUAGCUUGUUGGUAAGGUAACGGCUUACCAAGGCAACGAUAGGUAGGGGCCCUGAGAGGGGGAUCCCCCACACUGGUACUGAGACACGGACCAGACUCCUACGGGAGGCAGCAGUGAGGAAUAUUGGACAAUGGAGGCAACUCUGAUCCAGCCAUGCCGCGUGAAGGAUGACUGCCCUAUGGGUUGUAAACUUCUUUUAUACAGGAAGAAACGGUUCUACGUGUAGAGCUUUGACGGUACUGUAUGAAUAAGCACCGGCUAACUCCGUGCCAGCAGCCGCGGUAAUACGGAGGGUGCAAGCGUUAUCCGGAAAUCAUUGGGUUUAAAGGGUCCGUAGGCGGAUUAAUAAGUCAGAGGUGAAAUCCCGCAGCUCCACUGUGGAACUGCCUUUGAACUGUUAGUCUUGAGUUAUUGUGAAGUGGUUAGAAUAUGUAGUG
Molecule: ribosomal RNA, 568 nt
Filed under: uncultured bacterium
Lineage: Bacteria
Description: bacterial SSU rRNA
Rfam family: Bacterial small subunit ribosomal RNA
Source: RNAcentral